GCGGAUGUAGCUCAGUUGGUAGAGCGUCACCUUCCCAAGGUGAAUGUCGUGAGUUCGAACCUCAUUAUCCGCU
RNAcentral lists this transfer RNA (73 nucleotides) under Parachlamydia sp. RNAcentral's name for it is "tRNA-Gly". It matches the Rfam family "tRNA". Rfam says of the family: Transfer RNA (tRNA) molecules are approximately 80 nucleotides in length. Their secondary structure includes four short double-helical elements and three loops (D, anti-codon, and T loops). Further hydrogen bonds mediate the characteristic L-shaped molecular structure. tRNAs have two regions of fundamental functional importance: the anti-codon, which is responsible for specific mRNA codon recognition, and the 3' end, to which the tRNAs corresponding amino acid is attached (by aminoacyl-tRNA synthetases). tRNAs cope with the degeneracy of the genetic code in two manners: having more than one tRNA (with a specific anti-codon) for a particular amino acid; and 'wobble' base-pairing, i.e. permitting non-standard base-pairing at the 3rd anti-codon position. The record is from RNAcentral. Lineage: Bacteria; Pseudomonadati; Chlamydiota; Chlamydiia; Parachlamydiales; Parachlamydiaceae.